CACGGGGGGAGCAAGCGUUGUUCGGAAUCACUGGGCGUAAAGGGCGUGUAGGCGGUUAGGUAAGUGGGAUGUGAAAGCCCCCGGCUCACCCGGGGAUCUGCAUUCCAAACUGCCUGACUUGAGUAUGGGAGAGGAUAGGGGAAUUCCUGGUGUAGCGGUGAAAUGCGUAGAUAUCAGGAGGAACACCGGUGGCGAAGGCGCCUAUCUGGCCCAAUACUGACGCUGAGGCGCGAAAGCUAGGGGAGCAAACGGG
Molecule: ribosomal RNA, 253 nt
Filed under: uncultured bacterium
Lineage: Bacteria
Description: partial 16S ribosomal RNA
Rfam family: Bacterial small subunit ribosomal RNA
Source: RNAcentral